RNAcentral lists this ribosomal RNA (253 nucleotides) under uncultured bacterium. Its description in RNAcentral is "partial 16S ribosomal RNA". It matches the Rfam family "Bacterial small subunit ribosomal RNA", at positions 524 to 776 of the family's 1533-position model. The record is from RNAcentral.
UACGGAGGGUGCGAGCGUUGUCCGGAAUCACUGGGCUUAAAGGGCGCGUAGGCGGCUUGCCAAGUCAGUGGUGAAAUCCCACAGCUUAACUGUGGAAGUGCCUUUGAUACUGGCGAGCUCGAGGGAGGUAGGGGUAUGUGGAACUUCUGGUGGAGCGGUGAAAUGCGUUGAUAUCAGAAGGAACGCCGGUGGCGAAAGCGACGUACUGGACCUCUUCUGACGCUGAGGCGCGAAAGCUAGGGGAGCAAACGGG